UUCUACACUGUGAAAAUUUGGCUGAGAGACUCAGACUGGUCAUGGGUAGACCUAUCUGGGGUUUGAUCGAUGCCACUCCUGGUUUCAGGAGUACCCUUCAUAAUAAACCUAGAAAUUCAGUAUUAUAAAGUUUAAUAAAAAACAACUUUUAACAAUGGAUCUCUUGGUUCUCGCAUCGAUGAAGAACGUAGCAAAGUGCGAUAACUAGUGUGAAUUGCAUAUUCAGUGAAUCAUCGAGUCUUUGAACGCAGCUUGCACUCUAUGGUUUUUCUAUAGAGUACGCCUGCUUCAGUAUCAUCACAAACCCACACAUAACAUUUGUUUAUGUGGUGAUGGGUCGCAUCGCUGUUUUAUUACAGUGAGCACCUAAAAUGUGUGUGAUUUUCUGUCUGGCUUGCUAGGCAGGAAUAUUACGCUGGUCUCAGGAUCUUUUUUUUUGGUUCGCCCAGGAAGUAAAGUACAAGAGUAUAAUCCAGUAACUUUCAAACUAUGAUCUGAAGUCAGGUGGGAUUACCCGCUGAACUUAAGCAUAUCAAUAAGCGGAGGAAAAGAAAAUAACAAUGAUUUCCCUAGUAACGGCGAGUGAAGAGGAAAGAGCUCAAAGUUGGAACCUGUUUGGCCUAGCUAAACCGGAUUGUAGACUGUAGAAGUGUUUUCCAGGCAAGCCGAGUAAAUAAGUCCUUUGGAACAGGGCAUCAUAGAGGGUGAGAAUCCCGUCUUUGGCUUGAGCAUUUGCCUUGUGUGAUACGCUUUCAAAGAGUCAGGUUGUUUGGGAAUGCAGCCUAA
Molecule: ribosomal RNA, 786 nt
Filed under: Rhizopus arrhizus
Lineage: Eukaryota; Fungi; Mucoromycota; Mucoromycetes; Mucorales; Rhizopodaceae
Description: eukaryotic LSU rRNA
Rfam family: Eukaryotic large subunit ribosomal RNA (bases 491-786)
Source: RNAcentral